CCCUGCCCUUUGUACACACCGCCCGUCGCUACUACCGAUUGAAUGGCUCAGUGAGGCGUUCGGACUGGCUCGGGGAGGUUGGCAACGACCACCCCAAGCCGGAAAGUUCGUCAAACUCGGUCAUUUAGAGGAAGUAAAAGUCGUAACAAGGUCUCCGUAGGUGAACCUGCGGAGGGAUCAUUACACAAUUAAAAUAUGAAGGCCCUUCAAACCGGCUGGAUUAUUUUUAUUCACCCUUGUCUUUUGCGCACUUGUUGUUUCCUGGGCGGGUUCGCUCGCCACCAGGACCACAUCAUAAACCUUUUUUGUUAAUGCAAUCAGCGUCAGUAUAACAAAUGUAAAUCAUUUACAACUUUCAACAACGGAUCUCUUGGUUCUGGCAUCGAUGAAGAACGCAGCGAAAUGCGAUACGUAGUGUGAAUUGCAGAAUUCAGUGAAUCAUCGAAUCUUUGAACGCACAUUGCGCCCUUUGGUAUUCCAAAGGGCAUGCCUGUUCGAGCGUCAUUUGUACCCUCAAGCUUUGCUUGGUGUUGGGCGUUGUUUGUCUUUGGUCCGCCCAAAGACUCGCCUUAAAACAAUUGGCAGCCGGCCUACUGGUUUCGCAGCGCAGCACAUUUUUGCGCUUGCAAUCAGCAAAAGAGGUUGGUCAUCCAUCAAGACUACAUUUAUACGUUUGACCUCGGAUCAGGUAGGGAUACCCGCUGAACUUAAGCAUAUCAUA
Molecule: small RNA, 721 nt
Filed under: Curvularia americana
Lineage: Eukaryota; Fungi; Ascomycota; Dothideomycetes; Pleosporales; Pleosporaceae
Description: eukaryotic LSU rRNA
Rfam family: Eukaryotic small subunit ribosomal RNA (bases 1-183)
Source: RNAcentral